CCAGGGCACACCGGAAUGCCAGGCAUCAUGUGGGAAUGUGAGGAAAAAGGCGCAUUCACCACCCAAAUCACUGCUGGAUCCAGAGAAACUGCAAGCCUGGACCAGAGCAGCCCUGAGGAGAAACGAGCUGUAGACCGGGCGUCUGGCGGAAAGCGUUCCCUCUUCAGAGAGAUUGUAAUGCAGGUUUGCGACACCAAAUACUCCAUUUAAAGUUCCUGGGAUGCUUGGAGCAAGUGGGAAGAAAAAGCAUCAAGGUAACUGAACACCGAACAAGGCCAAGCGAAAACAAAAAGCAAACAAAACAUGGCCGCGGACCUCUGCAGAGUGAUCUGACUUGCCUUGACCACAGCGAAACCUUCAGGGUGCAGGUGAACACGGGACAAAGAGAACCAGGCAGAAGACAGGUGAGCGAGUAGGACUCCUUGCUCUCUUGACGUGGGUCAUCCGCUUCACAGGGCUCUAAGUGUCCCAGCCAGCCUGAGGAGGAAGGCAGGGCAGGCAGCAGAAUGCGUGGUUCCCCAGCAGGAAGCUCUGGCUCUGAGAUCAAAUACAUUUCCCAUAGUCCCCUGGACAGGACCUAGCUUGGCACCAGCUCUUUCCUGAAACUCGGAAGGUCAAGAGAACAAGGGUCUCUUUCUGAGUAAACCCUGAGAAGUCGUUGGUUCACCAGCAGCUCCUCAGUGAAGGCAGAAACCCUGGCUUGUGCUCGGGGUGGAGGGAAGUGAAACGAAGGAUUCUCACUGAGCUAAGGGAAACUAGACCCAGAAUGGAACCUCUGCAAAUGUUGCCUUUUACUUGGAGUUUGCAAGUCACAUUUAAAAAAUUGUCUACUGAUUGCUUUAACAUUGAUUCUCAUUGAUGUGUUUGUAAGUUCUUCUGUUUGAAAGGAGAGAGCAGAGGCGCCUGGGCGGCUCAGUCAGUUAGAUAAGAUCUCCAGGUCCUGGGAUUGAGCCCCACAUUGGGCUCCCUGCUCAGUGGGGAGUGGGCUUCGCCCUCUCUCUCUGCCCCUCCCCCUGCAAAUUCUCUCUCCCAAAUGAAUAAAUAAAAUCUUAAAAAAAAAAAAAAAGGAGAG
This 1072-nucleotide long non-coding RNA is filed under the name Ursus maritimus (polar bear). RNAcentral's name for it is "lncRNA (ENSUMAG00000014655.1)". The record is from RNAcentral. Lineage: Eukaryota; Metazoa; Chordata; Mammalia; Carnivora; Ursidae.